This 1556-nucleotide ribosomal RNA is filed under the name Escherichia coli. RNAcentral describes it as "bacterial SSU rRNA". It matches the Rfam family "Bacterial small subunit ribosomal RNA". Lineage: Bacteria; Pseudomonadati; Pseudomonadota; Gammaproteobacteria; Enterobacterales; Enterobacteriaceae. The record is from RNAcentral.
UUAAAUUGAAGAGUUUGAUCAUGGCUCAGAUUGAACGCUGGCGGCAGGCCUAACACAUGCAAGUCGAACGGUAACAGGAAGAAGCUUGCUUCUUUGCUGACGAGUGGCGGACGGGUGAGUAAUGUCUGGGAAACUGCCUGAUGGAGGGGGAUAACUACUGGAAACGGUAGCUAAUACCGCAUAACGUCGCAAGACCAAAGAGGGGGACCUUCGGGCCUCUUGCCAUCGGAUGUGCCCAGAUGGGAUUAGCUAGUAGGUGGGGUAACGGCUCACCUAGGCGACGAUCCCUAGCUGGUCUGAGAGGAUGACCAGCCACACUGGAACUGAGACACGGUCCAGACUCCUACGGGAGGCAGCAGUGGGGAAUAUUGCACAAUGGGCGCAAGCCUGAUGCAGCCAUGCCGCGUGUAUGAAGAAGGCCUUCGGGUUGUAAAGUACUUUCAGCGGGGAGGAAGGGAGUAAAGUUAAUACCUUUGCUCAUUGACGUUACCCGCAGAAGAAGCACCGGCUAACUCCGUGCCAGCAGCCGCGGUAAUACGGAGGGUGCAAGCGUUAAUCGGAAUUACUGGGCGUAAAGCGCACGCAGGCGGUUUGUUAAGUCAGAUGUGAAAUCCCCGGGCUCAACCUGGGAACUGCAUCUGAUACUGGCAAGCUUGAGUCUCGUAGAGGGGGGUAGAAUUCCAGGUGUAGCGGUGAAAUGCGUAGAGAUCUGGAGGAAUACCGGUGGCGAAGGCGGCCCCCUGGACGAAGACUGACGCUCAGGUGCGAAAGCGUGGGGAGCAAACAGGAUUAGAUACCCUGGUAGUCCACGCCGUAAACGAUGUCGACUUGGAGGUUGUGCCCUUGAGGCGUGGCUUCCGGAGCUAACGCGUUAAGUCGACCGCCUGGGGAGUACGGCCGCAAGGUUAAAACUCAAAUGAAUUGACGGGGGCCCGCACAAGCGGUGGAGCAUGUGGUUUAAUUCGAUGCAACGCGAAGAACCUUACCUGGUCUUGACAUCCACGGAAGUUUUCAGAGAUGAGAAUGUGCCUUCGGGAACCGUGAGACAGGUGCUGCAUGGCUGUCGUCAGCUCGUGUUGUGAAAUGUUGGGUUAAGUCCCGCAACGAGCGCAACCCUUAUCCUUUGUUGCCAGCGGUCCGGCCGGGAACUCAAAGGAGACUGCCAGUGAUAAACUGGAGGAAGGUGGGGAUGACGUCAAGUCAUCAUGGCCCUUACGACCAGGGCUACACACGUGCUACAAUGGCGCAUACAAAGAGAAGCGACCUCGCGAGAGCAAGCGGACCUCAUAAAGUGCGUCGUAGUCCGGAUUGGAGUCUGCAACUCGACUCCAUGAAGUCGGAAUCGCUAGUAAUCGUGGAUCAGAAUGCCACGGUGAAUACGUUCCCGGGCCUUGUACACACCGCCCGUCACACCAUGGGAGUGGGUUGCAAAAGAAGUAGGUAGCUUAGCCUUCGGGAGGGCGCUUACCACUUUGUGAUUCAUGACUGGGGUGAAGUCGUAACAAGGUAACCGUAGGGGAACCUGCGGUUGGAUCACCUCCUUACCUUAAAGAAGC